RNAcentral lists this long non-coding RNA (524 nucleotides) under Manihot esculenta (cassava). Its description in RNAcentral is "long non-coding RNA (MESC_LNC010135)". The record is from RNAcentral. Lineage: Eukaryota; Viridiplantae; Streptophyta; Magnoliopsida; Malpighiales; Euphorbiaceae.
CUCUCCCCCCAGAACCCUUAUUCUCCCGAUUCUUUUCUCUCCCCAGAAUCCUCCCCCUGGCCUCUCCAGUCUCCACACUCUCAUAGUCGAAUCCCUAACAAAUCAAUCAUCAAAUCCCAUUAAUCUCUUUCUCUUUCACGUCGAUCGUCGACCAUCAACCUCUUUCCCGUCGAUUUGCUGAGUGUCGCCGCCGACCGUCUACUGUCCUCUUUCAGUGAUCUCUUCGGUUGGCUUAUUAAUUUGAGGUGGGUCUGUCCUCCUCAUUUUAAAUGUGAAGUUUCUAUUUUUUUUUAUUCUUGUGUGGUGUUGUAAAAUUAGGUUCAAUAUAUAAAUUUUAAGCUUUUUCUGUAGGGGUUUAGCAACUUCAGUGGUUGGUGAUUGAACUGUUUUAUGAUGCAUGUGAUUUUCAUUUUUAUUUUUAUUUUCUGACAACCAAUAAUGCUUAAACUUCUUUGAGAUUGAGAAGGUAUUUUAAUGGAUCAUGGAAUAUGGAUGCACCUUUUCUGUUGUGUUUAUGUGCAGCU